RNAcentral lists this non-coding RNA (24 nucleotides) under Arabidopsis thaliana (thale cress). The record is from RNAcentral. Lineage: Eukaryota; Viridiplantae; Streptophyta; Magnoliopsida; Brassicales; Brassicaceae.
UGCACCGUAAGAACAAGCUGGUUG